GUGCUCACUUUGGCAGCACAUAUACUAAAAUUGGAACAAUACAGAGAUGAUUAGCAUGGCCCCUGUGCAAGGAUGACGUGCAAAUUUGUGAAGUGUUCCAUAUUUUU
RNAcentral lists this small nuclear RNA (107 nucleotides) under Octodon degus (degu). Lineage: Eukaryota; Metazoa; Chordata; Mammalia; Rodentia; Octodontidae. The record is from RNAcentral.